This 59-nucleotide microRNA precursor is filed under the name Sarcophilus harrisii (Tasmanian devil). RNAcentral's name for it is "mir-7398 microRNA precursor family". It matches the Rfam family "mir-7398 microRNA precursor family". The record is from Rfam by way of RNAcentral. Lineage: Eukaryota; Metazoa; Chordata; Mammalia; Dasyuromorphia; Dasyuridae.
UGUGUGGAGGGGGGUGAGGGUACCGUGCAGUGUUGGGUAACCUUCCCUUCUCUCACAGU